RNAcentral lists this ribosomal RNA (468 nucleotides) under uncultured bacterium. RNAcentral's name for it is "partial 16S ribosomal RNA". It matches the Rfam family "Bacterial small subunit ribosomal RNA", at positions 28 to 507 of the family's 1533-position model. The record is from RNAcentral.
GACGAACGCUGGCGGCGUGCUUAACACAUGCAAGUCGAACGGAAAGGCCCUGCUUUUGUGGGGUGCUCGAGUGGCGAACGGGUGAGUAACACGUGAGUAACCUGCCCUUGACUUUGGGAUAACUUCAGGAAACUGGGGCUAAUACCGGAUAGGAGCUCCUGCUGCAUGGUGGGGGUUGGAAAGUUUCGGCGGUUGGGGAUGGACUCGCGGCUUAUCAGCUUGUUGGUGGGGUGGUGGCUUACCAAGGCUUUGACGGGUAGCCGGCCUGAGAGGGUGACCGGCCACAUUGGGACUGAGAUACGGCCCAGACUCCUACGGGAGGCAGCAGUGGGGAAUAUUGCACAAUGGGCGGAAGCCUGAUGCAGCAACGCCGCGUGCGGGAUGACGGCCUUCGGGUUGUAAACCGCUUUCGCAUGUGACGAAGCGUGAGUGACGGUAAUGGGUAAAGAAGCACCGGCUAACUACGUG